GAGUUUGAUUCUGGCUCAGAACGAACGCUGGCGGCGCGUCUUAAGCAUGCAAGUCGAACGGUAAGGGAGAGCUUGCUCUCCCCUAGAGUGGCGGACUGGUGAGUAACGCGUGGGUGACCUGCCCUGAAGAUGGGGAUAGCUAGUAGAAAUAUUAGAUAAUACCGAAUGUGCUCAUUUACAUAAAGGUAAAUGAGGAAAGGAGCUACGGCUCCGCUUCAGGAUGGGCCCGCGUCCCAUUAGCUAGUUGGUGAGGUAAAGGCCCACCAAGGCAACGAUGGGUAUCCGGCCUGAGAGGGUGAACGGACACAUUGGGACUGAGAUACGGCCCAAACUCCUACGGGAGGCAGCAGCUAAGAAUCUUCCGCAAUGGACGAAAGUCUGACGGAGCGACGCCGUGUGAAUGAAGAAGGCCGAAAGGUUGUAAAAUUCUUUUGCAGAUGAAGAAUAACCACAGGAGGGAAUGCCUGUGAGAU
RNAcentral lists this ribosomal RNA (473 nucleotides) under Treponema denticola. RNAcentral describes it as "bacterial SSU rRNA". It matches the Rfam family "Bacterial small subunit ribosomal RNA", at positions 9 to 481 of the family's 1533-position model. The record is from RNAcentral. Lineage: Bacteria; Pseudomonadati; Spirochaetota; Spirochaetia; Treponematales; Treponemataceae.